RNAcentral lists this ribosomal RNA (47 nucleotides) under Hodophilus foetens. RNAcentral describes it as "partial 25S large subunit ribosomal RNA". The record is from RNAcentral. Lineage: Eukaryota; Fungi; Basidiomycota; Agaricomycetes; Agaricales; Clavariaceae.
GACUUGACCUCAAAUCAGGUAGGACUACCCGCUGAACUUAAGCAUAU